Molecule: ribosomal RNA, 253 nt
Filed under: uncultured bacterium
Lineage: Bacteria
Description: partial 16S ribosomal RNA
Rfam family: Bacterial small subunit ribosomal RNA
Source: RNAcentral
UCCGAAGGGAGCUAUCGUUGUUCGGAAUCACUGGGCGUAAAGCGCACGUAGGCGGAUUUGUAAGUCAGGGGUGAAAUCCCGGGGCUCAACCUCGGAACUGCCUUUGAUACUGCAAGUCUCGAGUCCGGAAGAGGUGGGUGGAAUUCCUAGUGUAGAGGUGAAAUUCGUAGAUAUUAGGAAGAACACCGGUGGCGAAGGCGGCCCACUGGUCCGGUUCUGACGCUGAGGUGCGAAAGCGUGGGGAGAAAACAGG